RNAcentral lists this ribosomal RNA (465 nucleotides) under uncultured bacterium. RNAcentral describes it as "bacterial SSU rRNA". It matches the Rfam family "Bacterial small subunit ribosomal RNA", at positions 917 to 1382 of the family's 1533-position model. The record is from RNAcentral.
GGGCCCGCACAAGCGGUGGAGCAUGUGGCUUAAUACGACGCAACGCGUAGAACCUUACCAGGACUUGACAUGCACUGGACCGGCUAUGAAAGUAGCCUUCUCUUCGGAGCCGGUGCACAGGUGUUGCAUGCCUGUCGUCAGCUCGUGUCGUGAGAUGUUGGGUUAAGUCCCGCAACGAGCGCAACCCUUGUUUUUAGUUGCCAUCACUUCGGGUGGGCACUCUAAAGAGACUGCCGGUGAUAAACCGGAGGAAGGUGGGGAUGACGUCAAGUCAUUAUGGCCCUUACGUCCUGGGCUGCACACGUGCUACAAUGGCCGGUACAAAGGGUUGCCAAACCGCGAGGUGGAGCCAAUCCCAAAAAGCCGGUCUCAGUUCAGAUUGGAGUCUGCAAUUCGACUCCAUGAAGUCGGAAUCGCUAGUAAUGGCGCAUCAGCUACGGCGCCGUGAAUACGUUCCCGGGCCUU